UGAGAUUGAUCUCAUUUAAAGCCUUGGAAACCCUAUUGUUAGGUCAUGAAUCAUGGGGGUGAAGUCGGUUUUGGUAUUCGGCAAGCCGGCGUGAAGUUCUCGGCAAAAUAGGGCCGGGUUAGUGUUGAUUUGGGUAAGGAAGGCUAAAGCCUUUUCGUAAAGCUCGCUGAGGAGCGUUUCCGAAACCUCUACAUCGAUUAAAGGUGGGGGGUGCCAUCCCGAAGCUUUCGAACUCCUUUCUAUGUCUUAGAUUGCAUUUAAUCUCAUCUCUUCAUGUUGCAUUGUAGGAUUGCAUAGUAGCUCCAUUCCUUAUACUUUCUAAAUGAUAACCUAGUGUACUUGGAAUGCUUGGUAAUUUAGAUAGGUGANGUAGAUCAAUCCCAAGAAUCUAGGGAUUUAUUGAUGGUUUGCUAAAGGUGCAAACCUAGGGCUCCAAAAUGGAGUUUUUGGUGAAGUAUGAGAUUGAUCUCAUUUGAGGCCUUGUAAACCGAAUUGGUAGGUCACAAAACGCGAGGGCGAAGUUGAUUUCGCGAUUCGUCGAGCGGAUUGGGAUCUAUCGGCGAAAUACGGCCGAUUUAGCCUUGUCUUGGACCAAGAAGGCCGAGACCUUGUCGUAAGGUGCGCCGAGGAGUGUUUCUAAAGCCUCUACAUCGAUUAAAGGUGGGGUAUGCCAUCCCGAAACUUUCGAACUCCUUUCUAUGUCUUAGAUUGCAUUUAAUCUCAUCUCUUCAU
This 732-nucleotide long non-coding RNA is filed under the name Ananas comosus (pineapple). Its description in RNAcentral is "long non-coding RNA (ACOM_LNC008948)". The record is from RNAcentral. Lineage: Eukaryota; Viridiplantae; Streptophyta; Magnoliopsida; Poales; Bromeliaceae.